Molecule: long non-coding RNA, 496 nt
Filed under: Salmo salar (Atlantic salmon)
Lineage: Eukaryota; Metazoa; Chordata; Actinopteri; Salmoniformes; Salmonidae
Description: lncRNA (ENSSSAG00000111410.1)
Source: RNAcentral
CUUCACCCUGUCUGUCUCUGACCACUAGGCCUAUCAGAUGGACCAAUAGAGGCCCUCUCCUUCACCCUGUCCGUCUCUGACCACUAGGCCUAUCAGAUGGACCAAUAGAGGCCCUCUCCUUCACCCUGUCCGUCUCUGACCACUAGGCCUAUCAGAUGGACCAAGAGAGGCCCUCUCCUUCACCCUGUCUGUCUCUGACCACUAGGCCUAUCAGAUGGACCAAUAGAGGCCGUCUCCUUCACCCUGUCUGUCUCUGACCACUAGGCCUAGCAUAUGGACCAAGAGAGGCUCUGAAUUAUUUUAUGACUUACUGCCCCUACAGCCAUUAUCAAUCACAUUCAAAGAUUAAUUUCCACCAGUAUCAUUUAUAUUGGAUCAACAAGAAGAUACAAUAUAUGCCUUCGUAAUAAAAUCUGAUAAUAAACCAAUCCAGAGGUAGUUUGUUGUUCCUUCCCAAUCUAAAUUACUGCCUGGAUAGGAGAGGAGAGAGAGUCAG